CGGGUGAGUAACACGUAUGCAACCUGCCUGCCACAGCCGGAUAAUCGGGAGAAAUUCCGUCUAAUACGGCAUAAUGCAUCGACGGGACAUCCUGUUGGUGCCAAAGGUUGAUUCCGGUGGCGGAUGGGCAUGCGUCGCAUUAGUUAGUUGGCGGUGUAACGGACCACCAAGACGACGAUGCGUAGGGGUUCUGAGAGGAAGGUCCCCCACCACUGGUACUGAGACACGGACCAGACUCCUACGGGAGGCAGCAG
RNAcentral lists this ribosomal RNA (254 nucleotides) under uncultured bacterium. Its description in RNAcentral is "partial 16S ribosomal RNA". It matches the Rfam family "Bacterial small subunit ribosomal RNA", at positions 103 to 354 of the family's 1533-position model. The record is from RNAcentral.